Molecule: long non-coding RNA, 206 nt
Filed under: Carica papaya (papaya)
Lineage: Eukaryota; Viridiplantae; Streptophyta; Magnoliopsida; Brassicales; Caricaceae
Description: long non-coding RNA (CPAP_LNC005800)
Source: RNAcentral
GUAUCUACUUCUCCCUCCCCUAUCUGGUCUGAAAAAAUGUGAGAGGACCGCUGCAUGUGGAUGACAGUGUACCAUCUGACGAGAGUGGUAACGUGAAUAUUUGUUAGGGGUCACCUUUGACUAAGUACUGUCAUGGCUAUGGAAUAACGUAUAAGACCACUAUGGUCGGUACGGGUAUGAUCAUAGUCGUACCAUGGUUUGGCCGA